RNAcentral lists this non-coding RNA (706 nucleotides) under Pongo abelii (Sumatran orangutan). The record is from RNAcentral. Lineage: Eukaryota; Metazoa; Chordata; Mammalia; Primates; Hominidae.
GUAUCUGACUCAGGACCUGAUGUAAGGUUUGGGGUUUUUUGGCCUUUUGUUUCUUCCUCUUGUUUUUUGACCUUUAGUUACUCCACACCUCAUUAGUUCCUUGACCUGCAGGUGGACUGAGAAGAGAGCCAUGGGGUUAGUUAUAGCAGGCAAGAGUGUGGUUAUCGUUGGACCAGGAUUCAGGAUCUGACCGAGUAGCUGACUCUUAAUCCAGUUUGUGUUGAUCACCAGGAGGAUCUGGACCUCAGUGUUAUCAUAUCUAGAGCUAUAAUCACAUCCCUGUUAAGCCUUCCUGAGAUCACAUCAAAUGUCCUUGAUGGGAAUUGUAAACAAACCUUAAUUCUGGUAUCUAAUGAUAUUCCAGGAAAGGAGUCAAACUAGAGUCAGUGAUAUGCCAACUCCACCUUUGCCUUCCACCAUGUUUGGAAGCUCCCUGAGGCCUCACCAGGAGCAGAUGCUCAUCCCAUGCUUCCUAUAAGCCUGCAGAACUGUGAGCCAUAAUAAACUGUGAAUUAUAAAUUGCCUUUAUAGCAAUGCAAAUGGACCAGUACAGACGGGAUGCUGGGAAGACAGUUGUUCCACCUUCAGUAAAGUCCAUGAAACACAGUUGUGACUAUAUUCUAGGCCAGCAAAGAUGCUUGUAUUCAGAAAGGAGUGGUCUCAGGACCAUAGGAACGUGAAGAAAUAAAAAUAAGAAAAUAAAGAA